Long non-coding RNA from Drosophila miranda, 249 nucleotides. RefSeq lists it as uncharacterized. The transcript has 2 exons. The record is from RefSeq and is a predicted model, not a curated record. NCBI's taxonomy places the organism in Eukaryota, Metazoa, Arthropoda, Insecta, Diptera, Drosophilidae.
GACAGAAUAACACGUAAUUCGGUGUCUGUAUAGAACCCAGGCGAGUUUAUGUCUUCGCGGACGAAAAGACACCUAUAUUUUUCUUUAACGUGGUAUCCAAACACUUUGUCAAUGAUCUCAGUUGGUAAAUUUUGAAUCAUUUUAAAGCAGAAAUAGCGGCGUGGGUAGAUUAAAUCGAGGAUAGAGAUAAUUUACAAUUUCUUUAGAAGAAAUUUUCGGAGACUUUGUAUUUUGACAGCAAAAUCAAAA